CCUACGGGAGGCAGCAGUGAGGAAUAUUGGUCAAUGGCCGGAAGGCUGAACCAGCCAAGUCGCGUGAGGGACGACGGUCUUCGGAUUGUAAACCUCUGUCUUUGGGGAAGAAAAUGACGGUACCCAAAGAGGAAGCUCCGGCUAACUACGUGCCAGCAGCCGCGGUAAUACGUAGGGAGCGAGCGUUGUCCGGAAUUACUGGGUGUAAAGGGAGCGUAGGCGGGCGAGAAAGUUGAAUGUUAAAUCUACCGGCUUAACUGGUAGCUGCGUUCAAAACUUCUUGUCUUGAGUGAAGUAGAGGCAGGCGGAAUUCCUAGUGUAGCGGUGAAAUGCGUAGAUAUUAGGAGGAACACCAGUGGCGAAGGCGGCCUGCUGGGCUUUAACUGACGCUGAGGCUCGAAAGCGUGGGGAGCAAACAGGAUUAGAUACCCCAGUAGUC
Molecule: ribosomal RNA, 439 nt
Filed under: uncultured bacterium
Lineage: Bacteria
Description: partial 16S ribosomal RNA
Rfam family: Bacterial small subunit ribosomal RNA
Source: RNAcentral